GAUGAACGCUAGCGGCAGGCCUAACACAUGCAAGUCGAACGGUAACAUGAGAGCUUGCUCUUGAUGACGAGUGGCGCACGGGUGCGUAACGCGUAUACAAUCUACCUUUUACAGAGGGAUAGCCCAGAGAAAUUUGGAUUAAUAUCUCAUAGUAUUAUUUUAUGGCAUCAUAGGAUAAUCAAAGAUUUAUCGGUAAAAGAUGAGUAUGCGUUCUAUUAGUUAGUUGGAGUGGUAACGGCACCCCAAGACAGCGAUAGAUAGGGGCCCUGAGAGGGGGAUCCCCCACACUGGUACUGAGACACGGACCAG
This 309-nucleotide ribosomal RNA is filed under the name uncultured bacterium. RNAcentral's name for it is "bacterial SSU rRNA". It matches the Rfam family "Bacterial small subunit ribosomal RNA", at positions 28 to 334 of the family's 1533-position model. The record is from RNAcentral.